ACAAAGAGCAGCAAGUUCGCGAGGACAAGCAAAAUCUCAUAAAACCGUGGCUCAGUUCAGAUCGUAGGCUGCAACUCGCUAGUGAAGGAGGAAUCGCUAGUAAUCGCAGGUCAGCAUACUGCGGUGAAUACGUUCCCGGGCCUUGUACACACCGCCCGUCACACCAUGGAAGUUGGCCACGCCCGAAGCCGUUACUCCAACCCUUGUGGAGGAGGACGUCGAAGGUGGGGCUGAUGACUGGGGUGAAGUCGUAACAAGGUAGCCGUACCGGAAGGUGCGGCUGGAUCACCUCCUAA
This 296-nucleotide ribosomal RNA is filed under the name uncultured Synechococcus sp. RNAcentral describes it as "partial 16S ribosomal RNA". It matches the Rfam family "Bacterial small subunit ribosomal RNA", at positions 1239 to 1533 of the family's 1533-position model. The record is from RNAcentral. Lineage: Bacteria; Bacillati; Cyanobacteriota; Cyanophyceae; Synechococcales; Synechococcaceae.